RNAcentral lists this ribosomal RNA (257 nucleotides) under uncultured bacterium. Its description in RNAcentral is "partial 16S ribosomal RNA". It matches the Rfam family "Bacterial small subunit ribosomal RNA", at positions 524 to 776 of the family's 1533-position model. The record is from RNAcentral.
UACGUAGGGUGCAAGCGUUAAUCGGAAUUACUGGGCGUAAAGCGUGCGUAGGUGGAAGAAUAAGUCGUUUGUGAAAUGCUCGGGCUUAACCUGAGAUCUGCAGACGAUACUGUUCAUCUAGAGUAUGGUAGAGGGAAGUGGAAUUUCCGGUGUAGCGGUGAAAUGCGUAGAUAUCGGAAGGAACACCAACAGCGAAGGCAGAUCUCUGGGACGUGACUGACGGCUGAGACGGCGAAAAGCGUGGGGGAGCAAACAGG